RNAcentral lists this ribosomal RNA (460 nucleotides) under uncultured bacterium. RNAcentral's name for it is "partial 16S ribosomal RNA". It matches the Rfam family "Bacterial small subunit ribosomal RNA", at positions 338 to 795 of the family's 1533-position model. The record is from RNAcentral.
CCUACGGGGCGCAGCAGUGAGGAAUAUUGGUCAAUGGACGAGAGUCUGAACCAGCCAAGUAGCGUGAAGGAUGACUGCCCUAUGGGUUGUAAACUUCUUUUAUAUGGGAAUAAAAUGUUCCACGUGUGGGAUUUUGUAUGUACCAUAUGAAUAAGGAUCGGCUAACUCCGUGCCAGCAGCCGCGGUAAUACGGAGAAUCCGAGCGUUAUCCGGAUUUAUUGGGUUUAAAGGGAGCGUAGGUGGAUUGUUAAGUCAGUUGUGAAAGUUUGCGGCUCAACCGUAAAAUUGCAGUUGAAACUGGCAGUCUUGAGUACAGUAGAGGUGGGCGGAAUUCGUGGUGUAGCGGUGAAAUGCUUAGAUAUCACGAAGAACUCCGAUUGCGAAGGCAGUUCACUGGACUGCAACUGACACUGAGGCUCGAUAGUGUGGGUAUCAAACAGGAUUAGAUACCCCAGUAGUC